UACGGAGAGUGCUAGCGUUGUUCGGAAUCAUUGGGCGUAAAGGGCGUGUAGGCGGCCUGUCAAGUCCGGUGUGAAAUCCCUCGGCUCAACCGAGGACGUGCACUGGAUACUGUCGGGCUCGAGUAUGGGAGAGGGAAGCGGAAUUCCCGGUGUAGAGGUGAAAUUCGUAGAUAUCGGGAGGAACACCCGUGGCGAAGGCGGCUUCCUGGCCCAAUACUGACGCUGAGGCGCGAAAGCGUGGGGAGCAAACAGG
Molecule: ribosomal RNA, 253 nt
Filed under: uncultured bacterium
Lineage: Bacteria
Description: partial 16S ribosomal RNA
Rfam family: Bacterial small subunit ribosomal RNA
Source: RNAcentral